UACUCGAGUGGCGAACGGGUGAGUAACACGUGGGUGAUCUGCCCUGCACUUCGGGAUAAGCUUGGGAAACUGGGUCUAAUACCGGAUAGGAACCAUCUUUAGUGUGGUGGUUGGAAAGUUUUUUCGGUGUAGGAUGAGCUCGCGGCCUAUCAGCUUGUUGGUGGGGUAAUGGCCUACCAAGGCGGCGACGGGUAGCCGGCCUGAGAGGGUGAUCGGCCACACUGGGACUGAGACACGGCCCAG
This 243-nucleotide ribosomal RNA is filed under the name uncultured Actinomycetales bacterium. RNAcentral describes it as "partial 16S ribosomal RNA". It matches the Rfam family "Bacterial small subunit ribosomal RNA", at positions 88 to 334 of the family's 1533-position model. Lineage: Bacteria; Bacillati; Actinomycetota; Actinomycetes; Actinomycetales. The record is from RNAcentral.